Molecule: ribosomal RNA, 274 nt
Filed under: uncultured bacterium
Lineage: Bacteria
Description: partial 16S ribosomal RNA
Rfam family: Bacterial small subunit ribosomal RNA
Source: RNAcentral
AUACGGAGGGUGCAAGCGUUAUUCGGAAUCACUGGGCGUAAAGGGUGCGUAGGCGGUUUGAUAAGUCUGAUGUGAAAUCCUAUGGCUCAACCAUAGAACUGCAUUGGAAACUGUCAGACUAGAAUACUGAAGGGGCAGAUGGAAUUAGUGGUGUAGGGGUAAAAUCCGUAGAUAUCACUAGGAAUACCGAAAGCGAAAGCGAUCUGCUGGGAAGUUAUUGACGCUGAGGCACGAAAGCGUGGGGAGCAAGCGGGAUUAGAAACCCUAGUAGUCC